GUGAGGAAUAUUGCGCAAUGGAGGCAACUCUGACGCAGCCAUGCCGCGUGCAGGAAGAAGGCGCUACGCGUUGUAAACUGCUUUUAACCGGGAAGAAACCCCAGGACGUGUCCUGGGUUGACGGUACCGGAGGAAUAAGCACCGGCUAACUUCGUGCCAGCAGCCGCGGUAAUACGAAGGGUGCAAGCGUUAUCCGGAUUCAUUGGGUUUAAAGGGUGCGUAGGCGGAGCGUUAAGUCAGUGGUGAAAUCCUGCAGCUUAACUGUAGACUUGCCAUUGAUACUGGCGCUCUUGAGUGCGCUUGAAGUGGGCGGAAUGUGCCGUGUAGCGGUGAAAUGCUUAGAUAUGGCACAGAACACCAAUUGCGAAGGCAGCUCACUAAGGCGAUACUGACGCUGAGGUGCGAAAGCAUGGGGAGCAAACAGGAUUAGAUACCCUAGUAGUCC
RNAcentral lists this ribosomal RNA (445 nucleotides) under uncultured bacterium. RNAcentral describes it as "partial 16S ribosomal RNA". It matches the Rfam family "Bacterial small subunit ribosomal RNA", at positions 354 to 796 of the family's 1533-position model. The record is from RNAcentral.